CAGGUAGACUAUUGCUGUUAGCGGCUUGGUCAGCGACAAGCUCUGCAGUUUGCGCAAUGCCAACGCCUUUUUCGUU
Molecule: transfer RNA, 76 nt
Filed under: Shewanella piezotolerans WP3
Lineage: Bacteria; Pseudomonadati; Pseudomonadota; Gammaproteobacteria; Alteromonadales; Shewanellaceae
Description: tRNA-His
Source: RNAcentral